AUUGAACGCUGGCGGCGUGCCUAACACAUGCAAGUCGAGCGGUAACAGGUGUAGCAAUACAUGCUGACGAGCGGCGAACGGGUGAGUAAUGCUUCGGAAUCUACCUUAUGGUGGGGAAUAACUAGCCGAAAGGUUAGCUAAUACCGCAUACGUCCUACGGGAGGAAGCAGGGGAUCGCAAGACCUUGCGCCAAAAGAUGAGCCGAAGUCGGAUUAGCUAGUUGGUAGGGUAACGGCCUACCAAGGCGACGAUCCGUAGCUGGUCUGAGAGGACGACCAGCCACACUGGGACUGAGACACGGCCCAGACUCCUACGGGAGGCAGCAGUGGGGAAUAUUGGACAAUGGGGGAAACCCUGAUCCAGCGACGCCGCGUGUGUGAAGAAGGCCUGCGGGUUGUAAAGCACUCUUAGAGGGGAUGAAAUGUGCAGGGUUAAUACCUCUGCAUUUUGACCUAACCCACAGAAAAGGCACCGGCUAACUCUGUGCCAGCCGCCGCCGUAA
Molecule: ribosomal RNA, 502 nt
Filed under: uncultured bacterium
Lineage: Bacteria
Description: partial 16S ribosomal RNA
Rfam family: Bacterial small subunit ribosomal RNA
Source: RNAcentral